Parus major (Great Tit) is the source of this 5995-nucleotide long non-coding RNA. RefSeq lists it as uncharacterized. The record is from RefSeq and is a predicted model, not a curated record. Lineage: Eukaryota; Metazoa; Chordata; Aves; Passeriformes; Paridae. The transcript has 2 exons.
ACUGAGAUUUCUGGUUUGGGAAGUCAGACCCUGAGCCUAAGAGUGGCAUCCUGAAAGCACAGAGAAAAAUAACUCCCAAGUGUGGAGAUGCAGAGAGGAUACUGUUUAUGCUGAAAUGGGUAGGGAGCUGUGCGUACCCUCUUCAGGGAAGGAUCUGCUCUUUUUGCUCCCACAGAGUCACAUCAGUAAAGUAAGAGACCAGACUGGAGCCAGCAGGGAGGCUAGCCAGCUUUUACUACAGGAUAGAUGGAAAAGGACGAGGGAUGAAUCAGUGUGUCUCAUUUUAAUUGAGGUAUCUGUAGACUCCAGUACUUUUUGAAGUGCAAAACUCACAGGAUUUCAGUGCUUUCUGUGAUGUAGAAUUUAAGAAAGUGAAGGAUAUUGUCACAGCAGCAAAUGUCAGCCUCUCUGCAGUCCAGCUAGGUUCCUGAUAUAAACUUCUUUGUCCCCACCAUUAAGUGUUCAGGUACUGAGUGCCAGCUUGGUGGUAGCUCUUACUUGGGGUCUGUUCUCAGAAACAGACAUCGCCUUCUGAGGCUCAGGGCCGGUCUAACUCUCUUGCUACUUAUUCUGCUUUUUAUUUUCAUAACCCUGCUAUUUUUAUUUUGUUAAUUCUCUCGAUACUACCAUCCUGGCAGAGCAGACUUGAGUAAGUCCCUUUAACUUAAAGAUACUUUUUUUCCUAUGUUCAAGGCCAGUCACCUCCUCAGAAUUAAUUUAAGAAGGAAGAGAUUAAACUGAUGGAGAACUGGCAAAGGGGAUCAAAGGCUCAGGAAGAAGCAAGAGCUAAUCAGGUUUGGUUUGUAUAUCUGGUCUUUGAAGAAGAACUGUGUUGAGACUUUACAGGUUAAUAAAGACAGAAAGUGUAAAGCUUGAAGUCUCAGCAGAACCACCGGCAUUUGUUGAGGGAAGGAUGCAUUUCAUGUGUUAAUCAUGGGUUGUUGGUUUUGUUCUUAAGCAAGAUCAGGACAUGUAAACAUAUAUUUUAAACAAUUUUAAUGUAUAAACCACUGGAAUUAAAUAGGUGUUCUUGCCUUGCGGUUCCCUCCUCUGUGUUUUCCCUCCUCUGGGCUGGCUUAGGCAUCUCUGGACCAUCACUGUAUGGUGACCUGCACUGGGGAAGUGAUCAGCAGAGCUUUUGGAAGGCUGGUAUUUCAGUUGGGUCAGUUUUACAAACCAAUUUACCACAUGACCACAAAAAAGCUUUCUCUGAAGAAGUACAAGGAGGAGAAAUGGGUGCUGGCUUCCCCCAUGUCACUGAAAUAUGUACGGUUUGAGGCUGUGGUUUACUGAUAGAGCGAAUCUAACUGCAGGCUGCUACUGCCCUGCUCUUAUCACUUCCCUUGCACUUCGCACUCAUGUUUGUCUGGGAUCAGAAGUUCAGGGAACUGAAGCAGCUGAAGCCAAAUAAGAAAAAUUUAACUUUCUAAACAGGUUCAUCAUGAACUCAGACCAGUGCCAACACUGGCGUGAAGGAGACGGUGGAAACACAUGGUCAAGUACAGGGAGAGCGAAUGGUGACAGCAGCCACUGCUGGGUUUGCUUGACCACCCCUUCAGGGUUUAAUUUGCUGGAUUUAAUUUCAGACUCCAGUAGAAGACAAUUGUAAAAAUGGUGUUGAGUGCAAAAUGCCCAAUGCACAUGCUGUUACUGGACAGGAGCAGAGACUAAAUUUGACAAUGUUAUUUUCUUUCAAGGCUUUUACCUUUCCUUCUAUGCUUGUCACAGUAUUGUGCACAAAUGGACAUUCAAAUACUGACAUUUCAAGUGUUUUGAAAUUUGUACUGUGCAAUUUGCACGACCAGCUUAUCACCAGUGUGACAGCACUACUUCAGAAGGCAACCCUGACCUUAAUUAUCAGCUUUUUACAGUUUUCAGUUUGUGUCUUAGCAGUGCCUCAAUCUAGUAAAUGCGUUCAGAUCUUAAAGGUGCAGUUGCAAAUAAUUAAAAAAAUGUUCCUGAUCGCACUUGCUAAUUCAGAGCAAAUAUAGAAGCAUGUUUUCACAUCACAGGCUGUAAUUCUCCAUUUCCUUGCAAUUAUGUGGUUGGGUACAUGGGCUACCACAGCUGUGUCAGGGCUUUGCAGGCAGAUGAGAGUUUUCUGGUUUCUGUGAGGAACAAGGGGUAGGUCGUGCUGUGGGUUUUACAGGACUGUUGGUCCAAUGUGUUUGGCUGCUGCUGCAGAAGGAGGCAGCCCAAUUCCCUUGGACUGGGGCUUCUGCUGCAUGGCUGGUGCACUGCAUUGGUGCAUGUCUGAGGCCAUGGUGAACAGUACUGGGGGCUCAGACAGGGUGUUAUCGUGUCAAACUACUGCUGUUGAUGAUGUAAAAGGUAAGAUCAGCUGGGCUGAGGUCAGGGGAUGCGGACCCCAUAGUGAGAUUGGCUUCUCAGGGAAUCAGUUCUUGAAGUUAAAAGUUCAGCUCUGCCAGUCCAGGAGUCUCUUCUCACCCUGGUUGUUGCCCUGCUUGACCCUUGUUUACAUGUCAGGGUUUUGGCAGAGAUCAUAGCAAUGCUAGACAUGAUUUGGGUGACUCUAUCCAAAUGGUUCUGUGGCUGUUUGGGUGAGGGUGCCUCCUCUAUUAAGGCAGCAAGCACAGAGAUACUCACUUGAAGAUAAAAAAAUCAAAUGUCAAACUGUUACUAAAUGGCUGAUCAGGGCAAAAGCCAGUGCACCUAAGAGACAGUGAUAGCAAAGAUGGGAGCUUGAAAGUCAAGUAUAGUAAUACUGUGUUUGGUGUAACAGAAGACAAGGCAGUGAAAGGAAUCCGGGAGACAGACACUCUUAUUCUUCACAGCUCUUGAGCUGUGGCAACUGUUUUUCCAAGCUGUAUAUAAGAUUCAAACAAGAUCAUGUUUGUUGAGGACAGUGCCAGGAAGACUUGAGGUGGAAAAUAAUAGGGAAGGAGAACUUGCAACAGAGUUUAAACAUUCUGGGGGAGUGGUGCAGCUGUCCUGAAAGGGGCAUUGCACAAGGAAUUAGCAAGGACCAAAGUUCUUCUGCUCAUGCAGCACUAUCAUAUUUAUCUUAUAUGAAUCUUAUAUGCUCUACCUGGUUUGGGAAGAUUCUCCCACUCCCAGUAACGUAGUGGCCAUCCAGCACAGUAGCCUUUGGCUUUGUGUUACGGAGAUUUGUGUGGGUUUGCUUCCUUGCUUCUCACACUAAGUACUGUUGGGUGUUUUUCUGUAGCGUUUCUAGUAGUGUCUAGCUGAACUGCUCUACAGCCCACUGCCUCUGUGUCUGCACUGCUUACCUGUGUACUGGGACAGAUGGGUUUAUUGGUAUGUAAGAGUAUGUAUGCCAUGUCUGUCGCUCUCUGCAUUGGGAGUUGUGUCUUCAAGGCAUUGUGGCUGCUCAAAGCAGGCCUGCCUGUCCUUUACAAGCCAGUCUUGGCUCUGAUUUAAGAGACAAAGUGAAUCCAAGACAUAAUUACAAUAUGGCUAGUAAAAACAAUGAUUUUAAUUUAAUUCCAAUGAGUAUUGGAGAAUAUUCACAGUAAGCUGAUUUUUUGAGGACUUAUCUGAGGAGUCUGUCCAACAUUUAUGCUCAGCCUCUUUGGAAGGAGAAUCUGACAACACACAGCCAACACAUCACUCAAAGUUAGGAUUGCAAAUAAUGGAAAUGACUUCUGAAAAUAUAUUAGCUAGGCAUUAUUUAUAGCACUGAUUGUCAUCAGUGGAACAAUUUCCUUUCAUUUUUUUCUGAAAAGAUCCUUGUCUUGAUAAUCAUACAUCCUUUUCUACAGUAGCAUGUAAUUGUAUAGCUUAGAAAUUAGUGCAAUAUAAUAGAAAGCUGUUAAUUGUUUCCUGAUGCUCAGGAUGUAAUUAACUUACACUUUCCUCUAGUUGAAAUUAAUUUAUUUUUACUAAGACGUAGAAAAAAUUACUCUUAUCUUAAACUGCUGUUUUGUUGGUUGUCCCAUGCAAACAGAGGGGGGUUGUCUCGAGAAGAAGCUGAAAGUAGCAUUAUAAUGUAUAAAUCCCAGAAGAGAUUGUACAAAUAUCAUUUUGAGCAUGUCUAGAAGCUUAAAGCCUUGCCUUGAACAAUUAUUUUCAAAACUCAUAGCAUUUUGGACAAACUCAGACCUUUCAAGUCUUUUGGAAAAUGGUAGAAAUAGGUGAGAUUAAAUGAGGUUAAUAAAUAGAUCUCUGUGACAAGAAAAAUGGGUCCAUAAUAGGAGCCAUUGGUAUCAUGUUACUACAUGUCCUAUUAGACAAGGGGUGAAAAUGGGUUCUUAAAAACACAUUGAACAGAAGAAAUAAAGCAAGGUUUAUUAAAAGUUUAUGUUAUUAUAUUUUAAUAAGCCUUAUUUAUUUAUCUUUAAUUUAUGCAAAAUUAUGCAACUCUAAAAUAGACUGCAGAAAGUUGUCUUCCUACAAGACUCAAGCCCCAAAGAGGGCUGGCUCUCAGGUUGGGGUUGGGCCUGGGCACGUGAGCUGCAAGGAGGUGCUGAGGGCUGGGUCUGCUCUGCCUAGUGAAGAAAAGCUCUGGGAGAUUCUUCUGGUUGCAACUACGAAAAUGAGAUGAUGUAGGGAAAGGGGGAGCGAAUUUUCCAAGUUGCACAGGGAUGGUACAAGAGGCAGUAGUUAAAAUUUGCAAGGGACUUUCUAAUCAGAUAUUUAGAAAGAAUUACUCACUGUGAGUAUAGGUUGGACCAGAUGACCUCCAGAGAUCCAUCCCUUCCAACUGAAUAUUUUAUGAAGGCAUAGUGUGUUGUCUUCUUCAAGCUGUGGUGGGUGAUAUUACCAGCUUUUUGUUAUUGGCUGGUAACCAGAGAUGAUUAUCCAGUCAGUGACACUGGUGGGAGGACUUCUAAGAAUGCCUUCUGACCUGCUUCAGUGCAAAAUCAUCUGGGCUAGUUUGUACUGCUGCUCUCACAUUAUCCAGCUUUUCAACCAAAUUUAAGGAUGAGAAAUGUAUCCAUUUCCAAAUAAACCCCAAGAACUUUCAAAAUCUCUCUGUUUCUACUAAGAUUUUUAGGAGGAUGUGAAGAUGAUAGCCUGGCUCCCUUGACCUCAAUGUCUUAAGUUUGGCUAGGAUUUUACCUCAGAUCACAUAAGAUUCAUCAAAUUCCAACAUCAUAACUCUUCCCACCACCAAGACUUCUUUCCAAGAUAUUCUGGAAAUAUCUGUAUUUUGAUCUGUAGAUUAAUGUCUCAAAAACUUGGGAUACAGAAACCAAAGUGCACAUAUUUGGGGCAUGCUGGUUUCAUAGAAAUCCUUGAAGAGUGAGAAUAGGGAAAAGAUUUGAGACUGUAGAGAGUAAUGUGUGCUGUAAGGCCAGUAGGUCAUGGUGCCAGAAACGCUGCUGGCUGUGCUGUGUUGGCAUUACAGGAGCAACAAUAACCUCAGGACCAGCCACCUGCUCCUCUUUCUCACUGCCUGCAUGACACUCUCAGAUUCCCUCACCCUGUGGGACCAGGGUUUGGGAGUUCAUUCAUGUGCACAGUGUCCAUAGUCCUGCAGCUCCAACUUUGCUUGUGGAAAGAGGAUUUUCACCCACAUAUUAAGGGAGGAAGGUAUUUGAACUAUUAAAAUUUUCUUCCCUUGGAGAGGCACAUCUCAUCCUGUAGCCUGUUCUGCAAUCAAAAACAUGACUAUAUCAAGAAUGUGCCCAACCAUUAUGCCACCUAUUUAAAAAUAAUAUUUCUUUCAACUCACACGAAACAAUGGGAUUUUUUCUUUCUCUAUAUGCCAUUGUGUUUUAUCACAAUGUUGCAAGGCCUAGAUCCUUUAAAAAGGAAAAUCCAAUCUCUUUAGUUUUCUAUAAAGUGGUGAUUUUUCCAAGUGCUAUGCUUUGGGCCUACUAAUAAAUCAAACACUAGUGUUCGGAAGAAAAUUGCUUACAUUCACUUUGUUGGGCUACAGAGGGGCUAGAGCUGCUCCAAAUUAAUGUAUUAAUAACUCCCUAUUACUUUUUUUGGUUGAAUCUGGAAAUCAACACCAGCUGAAACAAUGUUUCAUACAUUAUUUGACAUUAAAUAUGUUUGUACCCUG